AUUGAACGCUGGCGGCAUGCCUUACACAUGCAAGUCGAACGGUAACAGGUCUUCGGAUGCUGACGAGUGGCGAACGGGUGAGUAAUACAUCGGAACGUGCCUAGUAGUGGGGGAUAACUACUCGAAAGAGUGGCUAAUACCGCAUGAGAUCUACGGAUGAAAGCAGGGGAUAGCAAGACCUUGUGCUACUAGAGCGGCCGAUGGCAGAUUAGGUAGUUGGUGGGAUAAAAGCUUACCAAGCCGACGAUCUGUAGCUGGUCUGAGAGGACGAUCAGCCACACUGGGACUGAGACACGGCCCAGACUCCUACGGGAGGCAGCAGUGGGGAAUUUUGGACAUGGGCGAAAGCCUGAUCCAGCAAUGCCGCGUGCAGGAUGAAGGCCUUCGGGUUGUAAACUGCUUUUGUACGGAACGAAAAGCCCCGGGUUAAUACCCUGGGGUCAUGACGGUACCGUAAGAAUAAGCACCGGCUAACUACGUGCCAGCAGCCGCCGUAA
Molecule: ribosomal RNA, 497 nt
Filed under: uncultured bacterium
Lineage: Bacteria
Description: partial 16S ribosomal RNA
Rfam family: Bacterial small subunit ribosomal RNA
Source: RNAcentral